Molecule: transfer RNA, 73 nt
Filed under: bacterium
Lineage: Bacteria
Also listed under: 1 other name
Description: tRNA-Val
Rfam family: tRNA
About the family: Transfer RNA (tRNA) molecules are approximately 80 nucleotides in length. Their secondary structure includes four short double-helical elements and three loops (D, anti-codon, and T loops). Further hydrogen bonds mediate the characteristic L-shaped molecular structure. tRNAs have two regions of fundamental functional importance: the anti-codon, which is responsible for specific mRNA codon recognition, and the 3' end, to which the tRNAs corresponding amino acid is attached (by aminoacyl-tRNA synthetases). tRNAs cope with the degeneracy of the genetic code in two manners: having more than one tRNA (with a specific anti-codon) for a particular amino acid; and 'wobble' base-pairing, i.e. permitting non-standard base-pairing at the 3rd anti-codon position.
Source: RNAcentral
GGGCGUUUAGCUCAGAUGGGAGAGCGCUUCCCUUACAAGGAAGAGGCCGGCGGUUCGAGUCCGUCAACGCCCA